This 219-nucleotide ribosomal RNA is filed under the name uncultured bacterium. RNAcentral's name for it is "partial 16S ribosomal RNA". It matches the Rfam family "Bacterial small subunit ribosomal RNA", at positions 111 to 333 of the family's 1533-position model. The record is from RNAcentral.
UAAUGUAUGGGGAUCUGCCCGAUAGAGGGGAAUAACUACUGGAAACGGUGGCUAAUACCGCAUAAUGUCUACGGACCAAAGCAGGGGCUCUUCGGACCUUGCACUAUCGGAUGAACCCAUAUGGGAUUAGCUAGUAGGUGGGGUAAAGGCUCACCUAGGCGACGAUCUCUAGCUGGUCUGAGAGGAUGAUCAGCCACACUGGGACUGAGACACGGCCCA